AUUGAACGCUGGCGGCAUGCCUUACACAUGCAAGUCGAACGGCAGCACGGGGGCAACCCUGGUGGCGAGUGGCGAACGGGUGAGUAACAUAUCGGAACAUACCCUAGAGUGGGGGAUAACGUAGCGAAAGUUACGCUAAUACCGCAUACGAUCUAAGGAUGAAAGUGGGGGAUCUUCGGACCUCAUGCUCAUGGAGUGGCCGAUAUCUGAUUAGCUAGUUGGUGAGGUAAAGGCUCACCAAGGCGACGAUCAGUAGCUGGUUUGAGAGAACGACCAGCCACACUGGAACUGAGACACGGUCCAGACUCCUACGGAGGCAGCAGUGGGGAAUUUUGGACAAUGGGGGCAACCCUGAUCCAGCAAUGCCGCGUGAGUGAAGAAGGCC
Molecule: ribosomal RNA, 385 nt
Filed under: uncultured bacterium
Lineage: Bacteria
Description: bacterial SSU rRNA
Rfam family: Bacterial small subunit ribosomal RNA
Source: RNAcentral